ACUGACAAUUGCGCGUAUUCGGCAUUUUUGGGAAAGAAGGAUGUUUAGUAUCUAAGUUUUGUAACUUUGUGGGUAGAAAAUAUCGAUAUUCAAACGAAAAUUUAUGAUUAUAUGUCUCUGAAGUCUAGACAAUUUCAUUAUUUUUAUUGAAGGGAAGCGAGAAGAUGUCUGGUUAUUUGGAGAAAAAAUAUUUUAUCAUUAUAUGCUGCUGAUGUCUAGACAAUUUCAUUCUUUCAUUGAAGGGAUGCAAAAGGUUGUUUGGUUUAUUUUGGAGAGAAAAUAUUUCAUGAAUAUAUGGUGUUGUAGUCUAGUCUAUCUCAUUAUUUUAUUGCAGGGAUGCCAAAGGAUGUUUGGUUAUUUGAAGUAAAAAUUUCGGGUUGGAAACCUCGACCGUAAAAUCCAUUAGCACGUUCAGAAGUGCAUUGGCAUAUUUGAGAUAGAAACCCUCGAAGAGUCCAUUAGGACAUUCAGGAACUUUUAUAGUGUGUCUAGACAAUAUUAUUUUAUUGAAGGGAUGCAAGAGGUUGUUUGAUUUAUUUGAAGAAAAAAUUCGGGUAGGAAACCUUAACCGUAAAAUCCAUUAGCACGUUCAGAAGUGCAUUGGCAUAUUUGAGGUAGAAACCGUCGAAAUGUCCAUUGGGACAUUCGGGAAGUUUUAUAGGUUGAUAAAGACGGAAUUCUAACAAUUUUGUGAUUAUAUGACGCUGCACUCUGGACAAAUGUAAAAUCUCAAAUUAGUUUCUACCAACAAUAAACUCUUACUACCCUUUUCUUUCAUUUUUAUUUUUGUAUCGUUGGGACAAAUCAUAAGACUCGAAUUCAACCCCCCACCAGAAAGGGCCGACCUUUCCAAACACCAGAACAGAAUCAGAAGGGACAAUACAUCAUUCUGUUGGAGUAUCUCUCACCCAUCAAACUAACUUGCAGUGACACAGUCAAGUCAAGUGAUAUAGUUGACUCAAGCAACCCAAUAUUCAUCGUCGAUUCUUAGCAGUUGAAGUUAUCUUAAUUUCAAUAAAGCAGCCAGGUGAAGCAACUCCAUCAACGCCUUCAAAUCUUAGCAGCUGAAAAUUCAUCUCGAUAACCAUGUCUUUGUUGAAAGAAGCUUUAUUGAAACCAUCAAGCUCUGUGAACCGAUCAGAAAUGUGUGAAGUGGAGCGUAGGGAUGUAAUUGUCCACCAGAACGUGAUCAUUCAGGAAGGCAGGGAGAUACCACAACCGGUGAUGACUUCCAUUCAGCAGAUGCACAAUGCUAAAUCUUUUUAAAAUGGAUUCAAUUCAAACCAUGUGGAGUUGAAUGACAAUCCCUCAAACUUUGAUAAUGUGAUGGCGACUCACACCCAGAAUCUUGAUGAGUCACUUCCGAACUUAUCACAAACUGUUGUGAGUAAUAUAUUAGAGAUGGAGGAAACGUAUUCGAAGAAUAUGGGAUCCCCACAUAGUUCAAUCAAUCAGAACAGUUCGGUUAAUGACCUUGAGAGACGUAAAAGAAAAAAAAAAAGGGAGAGUGAAGAAAAGAUAAUGAAGAAGGCGAAGAAGUCUGAAAAGUCUAGCUUGAAGUCGCCAUCUAGAAGGAGGAACAAGAUGAAACAUGAAAAAAGGGAUAAAGACAAGCCGAUAAAAGUGAGAGAGAUGGAAGUCAUAGCAGGACCUUCUAUAUCACUCCAACAGGUUCCUGAAUACGAGGAUGUUAGCCCGGGAAGCACACCGCCCCCAACGAUUGACCUCGAAAAAUGAGACGAUUGGUUUUCAUUUAUGAGAUCCAGGAGAGACAAAUUUUUAGAGAUGUAUCACGUUUACAAUGGAUUCGAAACGGAAUAUAGAGCGAAGAGGGAAAAACUUGUUGAAUUGGAAGAGCAAGUUUCUCUCCUCAAAGUGGAAUGUGAACAAAUGAGAGCAGCUCAACGAGAGAGAUCUGCUCACAUGAAAAAACUUUCUCCCAAAAUUCGACAAUUGGAAAUCUUCAGUAAGGAGAUACAUGAAAAUUCCAUCUUACAUCUCUUGUAAAAAUUUUUAUCUUUCCCUAUACAUUUGCAAUUCAUGUAUCAUAAUAUUUUCUAUAUUAUUUUCAUAUCUGUAUUAUUCAGAGCAAUCGUGUCGAGAAAUCUCCCCCAAUAAAUAUUUUGUAAAUA
Molecule: unclassified non-coding RNA, 2132 nt
Filed under: Leptinotarsa decemlineata (Colorado potato beetle)
Lineage: Eukaryota; Metazoa; Arthropoda; Insecta; Coleoptera; Chrysomelidae
Description: hepatoma-derived growth factor-related protein 2- like, transcript variant X1
Source: RNAcentral